AACGAACGCUGGCGGCAGGCCUAACACAUGCAAGUCGAGCGCCCCGCAAGGGGAGCGGCGGACGGGUGAGUAACGCGUGGGAACGUACCCUUUGCUACGGAAUAGCCUCGGGAAACUGGGAGUAAUACCGUAUGUGCCCUUCGGGGGAAAGGAUUUAUCGGCAAAGGAUCGGCCCGCGUUGGAUUAGGUAGUUGGUGGGGUAAUGGCCUACCAAGCCGACGAUCCAUAGCUGGUUUGAGAGGAUGAUCAGCCAUACUGGGACUGAGACACGGCCCAGACUCCUACGGGAGGCAGCAGUGGGGGAAUCUUAGACAAUGGGCGCAAGCCUGAUCUAGCCAUGCCGCGUGAGCGAUGAAGGCCUUAGGGUUGUAAAGCUCUUUCAGUGGGGAAGAUAAUGACUGUACCCACAGAAGAAGCCCCGGCUAACUCCGUGCCAGCAGCCGCGGUAAAGUACAGUGU
RNAcentral lists this ribosomal RNA (459 nucleotides) under uncultured bacterium. Its description in RNAcentral is "bacterial SSU rRNA". It matches the Rfam family "Bacterial small subunit ribosomal RNA", at positions 29 to 533 of the family's 1533-position model. The record is from RNAcentral.